This 1050-nucleotide ribosomal RNA is filed under the name Lacticaseibacillus rhamnosus. RNAcentral's name for it is "bacterial SSU rRNA". It matches the Rfam family "Bacterial small subunit ribosomal RNA", at positions 210 to 1253 of the family's 1533-position model. Lineage: Bacteria; Bacillati; Bacillota; Bacilli; Lactobacillales; Lactobacillaceae. The record is from RNAcentral.
AGCUAUCGCUUUUGGAUGGACCCGCGGCGUAUUAGCUAGUUGGUGAGGUAACGGCUCACCAAGGCAAUGAUACGUAGCCGAACUGAGAGGUUGAUCGGCCACAUUGGGACUGAGACACGGCCCAAACUCCUACGGGAGGCAGCAGUAGGGAAUCUUCCACAAUGGACGCAAGUCUGAUGGAGCAACGCCGCGUGAGUGAAGAAGGCUUUCGGGUCGUAAAACUCUGUUGUUGGAGAAGAAUGGUCGGCAGAGUAACUGUUGUCGGCGUGACGGUAUCCAACCAGAAAGCCACGGCUAACUACGUGCCAGCAGCCGCGGUAAUACGUAGGUGGCAAGCGUUAUCCGGAUUUAUUGGGCGUAAAGCGAGGGCAGGCGGUUUUUUAAGUCUGAUGUGAAAGCCCUCGGCUUAACCGAGGAAGUGCAUCGGAAACUGGGAAACUUGAGUGCAGAAGAGGACAGUGGAACUCCAUGUGUAGCGGUGAAAUGCGUAGAUAUAUGGAAGAACACCAGUGGCGAAGGCGGCUGUCUGGUCUGUAACUGACGCUGAGGCUCGAAAGCAUGGGUAGCGAACAGGAUUAGAUACCCUGGUAGUCCAUGCCGUAAACGAUGAAUGCUAGGUGUUGGAGGGUUUCCGCCCUUCAGUGCCGCAGCUAACACAUUAAGCAUUCCGCCUGGGGAGUACGACCGCAAGGUUGAAACUCAAAGGAAUUGACGGGGGCCCGCACAAGCGGUGGAGCAUGUGGUUUAAUUCGAAGCAACGCGAAGAACCUUACCAGGUCUUGACAUCUUUUGAUCACCUGAGAGAUCAGGUUUCCCCUUCGGGGGCAAAAUGACAGGUGGUGCAUGGUUGUCGUCAGCUCGUGUCGUGAGAUGUUGGGUUAAGUCCCGCAACGAGCGCAACCCUUAUGACUAGUUGCCAGCAUUUAGUUGGGCACUCUAGUAAGACUGCCGGUGACAAACCGGAGGAAGGUGGGGAUGACGUCAAAUCAUCAUGCCCCUUAUGACCUGGGCUACACACGUGCUACAAUGGAUGGUACAACGAGUUGCGAG